UGCAGUCGAGCGGAACGAUCCUAGCUUGCUAGGAGGCGUCGAGCGGCGGACGGGUGAGUAAUGCAUAGGAAUCUGCCCGGUAGUGGGGGAUAACUUGAGGAAACUCAAGCUAAUACCGCAUACGCCCCAAGGGGGAAAGCAGGGGAUCUUCGGACCUUGCGCUAUCGGAUGAGCCUAUGUCGGAUUAGCUAGUUGGUGAGGUAAUGGCUCACCAAGGCCGCGAUCCGUAGCUGGUCUGAGAGGAUGAUCAGCCACAUCGGGACUGAGACACGGCCCGAACUCCUACGGGAGGCAGCAGUGGGGAAUAUUGGACAAUGGGCGAAAGCCUGAUCCAGCCAUGCCGCGUGUGUGAAGAAGGCCUUCGGGUUGUAAAGCACUUUCAGCGAGGAAGAACGCUUGUGGGUUAAUACCCUGCAAGAAGGACAUCACUCGCAGAAGAAGCACCGGCUAACUCCGUGCCAGCAGCCGCGGUAAUACGGAGGGUGCAAGCGUUAAUCGGAAUUACUGGGCGUAAAGCGCGCGUAGGCGGCUUGAUAAGCCGGUUGUGAAAGCCCCGGGCUCAACCUGGGAACGGCAUCCGGAACUGUCAGGCUAGAGUGCAGGAGAGGAAGGUAGAAUUCCCGGUGUAGCGGUGAAAUGCGUAGAGAUCGGGAGGAAUACCAGUGGCGAAGGCGGCCUUCUGGACUGACACUGACGCUGAGGUGCGAAAGCGUGGGUAGCAAACAGGAUUAGAUACCCUGGUAGUCCACGCCGUAAACGAUGUCGACUAGCCGUUGGGGGUCCUCGAGACCUUUGUGGCGCAGUUAACGCGAUAAGUCGACCGCCUGGGGAGUACGGCCGCAAGGUUAAAACUCAAAUGAAUUGACGGGGGCCCGCACAAGCGGUGGAGCAUGUGGUUUAAUUCGAUGCAACGCGAAGAACCUUACCUACUCU
RNAcentral lists this ribosomal RNA (933 nucleotides) under Halomonas halophila. RNAcentral's name for it is "bacterial SSU rRNA". It matches the Rfam family "Bacterial small subunit ribosomal RNA", at positions 56 to 981 of the family's 1533-position model. Lineage: Bacteria; Pseudomonadati; Pseudomonadota; Gammaproteobacteria; Oceanospirillales; Halomonadaceae. The record is from RNAcentral.